CGGCGGACGGGUGAGGAACACGUGGGAAUCUACCUAUUGGUGGGGGAUAACUUGGGGAAACUCAAGGUAAUACCGCAUUAGCCCUACGGGGGAAAGCAGGGGACCUUCGGGCCUUGCGCCGAUAGAUGAGCCCGCGUCGGAUUAGCUAGUUGGUAGGGUAAAGGCCUACCAAGGCGACGAUCCGUAGCUGGUCUGAGAGGAUGAUCAGCCACACUGGGACUGAGACACGGCCCAGACUCC
Molecule: ribosomal RNA, 240 nt
Filed under: uncultured bacterium
Lineage: Bacteria
Description: partial 16S ribosomal RNA
Rfam family: Bacterial small subunit ribosomal RNA
Source: RNAcentral